GACGAACGCUGGCGGCGUGCCUAAUACAUGCAAGUAGAACGCUGAAGGAGGAGCUUGCUUUUCGGAUGAGUUGCGAACGGGUGAGUAACGCGUAGGUAACCUGCCUGGUAGCGGGGGAUAACUAUUGGAAACGAUAGCUAAUACCGCAUAAGAGUAGAUGUUGCAUGACAUUUGCUUAAAAGGUGCAAUUGCAUCACUACCAGAUGGACCUGCGUUGUAUUAGCUAGUUGGUGAGGUAACGGCUCACCAAGGCGACGAUACAUAGCCGACCUGAGAGGGUGAUCGGCCACACUGGGACUGAGACACGGCCCAGACUCCUACGGGAGGCAGCAGUAGGGAAUCUUCGGCAAUGGACGGAAGUCUGACCGAGCAACGCCGCGUGAGUGAAGAAGGUUUUCGGAUCGUAAAGCUCUGUUGUAAGAGAAGAACGAGUGUGAGAGUGGAAAAGUUCACACUG
This 457-nucleotide ribosomal RNA is filed under the name Streptococcus mitis. RNAcentral describes it as "bacterial SSU rRNA". It matches the Rfam family "Bacterial small subunit ribosomal RNA", at positions 28 to 471 of the family's 1533-position model. The record is from RNAcentral. Lineage: Bacteria; Bacillati; Bacillota; Bacilli; Lactobacillales; Streptococcaceae.